GGGAACGGGCGGGCAGGGACCCGUGCGGCUCCGGUUUCGGCAGAAGAUGCGGCCAGGAGAGGGAUGGAUGGAGCGGAGCAAAGGGCUGCGGAGGGGCCGGUGCGGAGGAUCUGGCGCGGAUCGGAACGGGCGGCACUGAGCAGCCCCCGCCCGGUGCCAGCGCACACCGAGGGUCGCAGGCGAGCGCUGACACUUCGGGCGCAUCACCCGGAGCCCUGGCCCCUGCCCCGGGCAGUGCUGCGCUGGCCUCGGGCUGCCCGCACGGCUCGGAACGGUUCCACCGCGGACAGACGGACAGCUCGCCCCAGGGCUUGCAGCAUCGGCGCCGAACGAAAAAGCCGCUUUCAAACCCGCUGCACAUUUUCACACCAUCAUUAGCAUCAGUUUAACCAGACUGCCUUGAACUGGACCAGGCUAAGUUUGUCCUCCCUAACUCUGCUUCUGUCAUGGCACAUCCAUGCUUUCCACAGAAUGGUAGUGCUAUUUUUGGUUUUCCUGUGCUGCUUUUUAUUCACUUUUAAAUAUCUUAGAAUAGCUCCGUGCAGACUAAUCUACUGCAUUUUGCUCAGACUCACAGGAGGACACAGUUUUCUCAGGCAACUGAGAUUCAGGCAGAGAAAUCACGGGACAGAUUUCUGUAAGUGCACUUUGGGACUUUACAGUGCCACUGCCUGCCCUGAGUUGCGGGUGCUGCGUCCCAGGGCCUGUGAUCCCACUCUUGCACAUGACCAUUGAGAGGCUGCAAGCACUGAGCAGCACAGCAGCGAGAAUCUUAAAACCCAAACGCCAGCCAGUCACAGGAAAGCAUCUUCCUCAGCAGGGAGAUCAGCAUCCCCUCAGCAGCCUGCCCUCAAGCCAGAGCAGAUGAGAAAAGCCAGGUACUGCUCACACACUGCUCACCUCAGCUGUGCAUCAGCAUCUUUGCAAUCAUUGAUGUCAAAGUCAAUAAAACUUUCAGCUCUGCUUUUGGGUCUUUAUCACAUAUGCAAAGCUGACACUCGGAAACAUUGUUUUGUUACCUACAGAUAAUCUCAACUAGAUACCAUACAAUGACAACAAAAGUAGCAGCAUUUUUAGGCAUUUCUCUAAGUGUAACCAUUCCUUAAAGCCUCAAGGAGACAAUGUUGACCUGCAAGGCCAAGAACAACCAAAGAUGGUGACUUUUUCCAGGACCCAGGCUCACUCAAGGUGACACAGACUUCACCAAGACACUGAAACCUUUGCAGCAAUUCAUAACCUCUGACACCAGCCACUCUUUCACUUCUGGUAUGAUUGCAGUGUAAGAGUGCUAUUUUAAAAAUUAUUUAUGAAGUCACUUACUAAAAUCACUUUUUAGCUGAAUUAAGAGAUUUAAUGCCUAGAAAUAAAACACCCCAUGAGCUUUGAAAUAUACAGUUAGGUGAAGCUGUAUUUAACAAUAUUUUGGAAUUAUACUUGAACUUUAAAUGAUAAAGUGGUAUCACUAGACAUCCUUCAGCACUUUAUAUCAAGUCAAAAAACAUCAAUUAUUCUGGUCACUAUAUGAAUGUGCAUAUUAUUCAUUAGAAAACAUAUCACUGAUGGAUAAUUUACUUUUAAAAGUAACUUUGUUUCCCUUAUUCUGAUGUUUUCUCAGUCUAUUGUGGGAAAUAGUCAUUUUUUCAGACAAGAAUAAUAUGCUAUACAGCUGUCACUCUUUAGGUAGGAAGGCAAAGAGGAAUGUGGUAUUUAUGAAGUUAAAUACAGAGCAGAAGAGAUCAGCCUUCAGAGGAACUGUAGGGACAGCCUGCCAUUCUCCAAGCCUUACACUUGUUUCUUGUUUCUGAUGUACCACUAAAGUAAAGAGACCUGCUUUGCCCUUUG
This is a long non-coding RNA of Catharus ustulatus (Swainson's thrush), 1842 nucleotides long. RefSeq lists it as uncharacterized. Lineage: Eukaryota; Metazoa; Chordata; Aves; Passeriformes; Turdidae. The record is from RefSeq and is a predicted model, not a curated record. The transcript is spliced from 2 exons.